This 425-nucleotide unclassified non-coding RNA is filed under the name soil metagenome. RNAcentral describes it as "partial contains 5.8S ribosomal RNA, internal transcribed spacer 2, and large subunit ribosomal RNA". The stretch from base 1 to 120 matches the Rfam family "5.8S ribosomal RNA", at positions 35 to 154 of the family's 154-position model. The record is from RNAcentral.
GAUGAAGAACGCAGCGAAAUGCGAUACGUAGUGUGAAUUGCAGAAUUCCGUGAAUCAUCGAAUCUUUGAACGCACAUUGCGCCUUCUGGUAUUCCGGAAGGCAUGCCUGUUCGAGAGUCAUUAACAACCGUUUCGAUCCCUUUCUUUCAGAAAUUACAAAGAGGAAAAGGGUUUGGUUAUGGUGGAGGAGGGAAAGGGAGCGUUUAGCCUGUAAAAAAAGAGGCUGUGUUCCGCCUCCCCCCCAAAAUUGUACAGGCGGUCGUGUGCGCCCACGCAUCGAGGUGUUGUAAAAGCUGCCACGGCACUUUUCACCUGUGCAGUGCGAGAUUGGCCAGCCGGUUUAAAAACCCCUCCAAACAAUCAAAGGUUGACCUCGGAUCAGGUAGGGAUACCCGCUGAACUUAAGCAUAUCAAUAAGCGGAGGA